RNAcentral lists this ribosomal RNA (480 nucleotides) under uncultured bacterium. RNAcentral describes it as "partial 16S ribosomal RNA". It matches the Rfam family "Bacterial small subunit ribosomal RNA", at positions 28 to 507 of the family's 1533-position model. The record is from RNAcentral.
GAUGGACGCUAGCGGCAGGCCUAACACAUGCAAGUCGAGGGAGAGGUUACCUUCGGGUAACCACUACCGGUGCACGGGUGCGUAACGCGUAUACAAUCUGCCUUUCCCUUAGGGAUAGCCAGAAGAUCUUUGGAUUAAUACCUAAUGGUAUAUAAAAGCGGCACCGUUUUUAUAUUAAAGCUACGGCAGUGAAAGAUGAGUAUGCGUUCUAUUAGCUAGUUGGUGAGGUAACGGCUCCCCAAGGCGACGAUAGAUAGGGGUUCUGAGAGGGAUGUCCCCCACACUGGUACUGAGAUACGGACCAGACUCCUACGGGAGGGAGCAGUGAGUAAUAUUGUACGAUGGUCGGAAGACUAAUCCAGCCAUGCCGCGUGCAGAAGGAAGGUCCUAGGAAUUGUAAGCUACUUUUGAAAGAGAAGAAUAAAAGCUACGAGUAGUUUGAUGACGGUACCUUACGAAUAAGCAUCGGCUAACUCCGUG